GACGAACGCUGGCGGCGCGCUUAACACAUGCAAGUCGAGCGAAGCGGCGGACGGGUGAGUAACACGUGAGUAACCUGCCUUAGACAUUGGGAUAGCCUCGGGAAACCGGGAUUAAUACCAAAUGGUCUAAGAUGGACUCGCGUCGUAUCAGCUUGUUGGUGGGGUAGUGGCCCACCAAGGCGACGAUGGGUAGCCGGCCUGAGAGGGAGAACGGCCACAUUGGAACGGAGAAACGGUCCAAACUAUACGGGAGGCAGGAGUGGGGAAUAUUGCACAAUGGAGGGAACGAUGAUGCAGCGACGCCGCGUGAACGAAGAAGGCUUUCGAGUCGUAAAGUUCUUUUAUAUGGGAAGCGGUACCAUAAGAAAAAGCCCCGGCUAACUACGUGCCAGCAGCCGCGGUAAUUC
RNAcentral lists this ribosomal RNA (407 nucleotides) under uncultured bacterium. Its description in RNAcentral is "partial 16S ribosomal RNA". It matches the Rfam family "Bacterial small subunit ribosomal RNA", at positions 28 to 526 of the family's 1533-position model. The record is from RNAcentral.